RNAcentral lists this ribosomal RNA (527 nucleotides) under Enterococcus faecium. RNAcentral describes it as "bacterial SSU rRNA". It matches the Rfam family "Bacterial small subunit ribosomal RNA", at positions 39 to 530 of the family's 1533-position model. The record is from RNAcentral. Lineage: Bacteria; Bacillati; Bacillota; Bacilli; Lactobacillales; Enterococcaceae.
GAGCAAGAGGGGGUUGCCUAAUCAUGCAAGUCGUACGCUUCUUUUUCCACCGGAGCUUGCUCCACCGGAAAAACAGUUGAGGGGAACGGGUGAGUAACACGUGGGUAACCCGCUCUUCAAAAGGGGAUAACGCUUGGAAACAGGUGCUAAUACCGUAUAACAAUCGAAACCGCAUGGUUUUGAUUUGAAAGGCGCUUUCGGGUGUCGCUGAUGGAUGGACCCACGGUGCAUUAGCUAGUUGGUGAGGUAACGGCUCACCAAGGCCACGAUGCAUAGCCGACCUGAGAGGGUGAUCGGCCACGUUGGGACUGAGACACGGCCCAAACUCCUACGGGAGGCAGCAGUAGGGAAUCUUCGGCAAUGGACGAAAGUCUGACCGAGCAACGCCGCGUGAGUGAAGAAGGUUUUCGGAUCGUAAAACUCUGUUUUUAGAGAAGAACAAGGAUGAGAGUAACUGUUCAUCCCUUGACGGUAUCUAACCAGAAAGCCACGGCUAACUACGUGCCAGCAGCCGCGGUAAUACAACU